Molecule: ribosomal RNA, 468 nt
Filed under: uncultured bacterium
Lineage: Bacteria
Description: partial 16S ribosomal RNA
Rfam family: Bacterial small subunit ribosomal RNA
Source: RNAcentral
GACGAACGCUGGCGGCGUGCUUAACACAUGCAAGUCGAACGGAAAGGCCCUGCUUUUGUGGGGUGCUCGAGUGGCGAACGGGUGAGUAACACGUGAGUAACCUGCCCUUGACUUUGGGAUAACUUCAGGAAACUGGGGCUAAUACCGGAUAGGAGCUCCUGCUGCAUGGUGGGGGUUGGAAAGUUUCGGCGGUUGGGGAUGGACUCGCGGCUUAUCAGCUUGUUGGUGGGGUAGUGGCUUACCAAGGCUUUGACGGGUAGCCGGCCUGAGAGGGUGACCGGCCACAUUGGGCCUGAGGUACGGCCCAGACUCCUACGGGAGGCAGCGGUGGAGAAUAUUGCACACUGGGCGGCAGCCUGAUGCAGCGACGCCGCGUGCGGGAUGACGGCCUUCGGGUUGUAAACCGCUUUCGCCUGUGACGAAGAGUGAGUGACGGUAAUGGGUAAAGAAGCACCGGCUAACUACGUG